GGAAUUUUAAAAAUGUAAAGGAAAUGAUUGAAGCAAUUAGGCAGUUUUCUCCAGAUUAGAUAAAGUUUUGCAAGUGGGAGGGAUGUGAGGGGGUAGGGUGGGGUUUCAGCACCACUCCUCCUCCUCCUCUCCUUGUUUUCAUCCAGUUAAAGUCAUCUCUUUCUCUAGGUUUAGAAAGGCCCCAGGAGGCCCUUCUGGGUGAAACCCCAGGAAAGGAAGAAGCCUCCAUGCUGUCACUAUGUCCCCUUAAGGGCUGACCUUAAACUCAACUGGAAAAAAAAAACACUCUUCCCUAAAAAGCUGUGCCUGGCUUGGUGGUUAUGAUCACAGAACUCAAGUGUCCUCCUUGCCUUUGGGUCUUGCUGGCGCCUCCUCCAGUGGACCCUCAGCAGCAAAUAGGAGAGGCUGAAGAGCCAGCACUGGGAGACUCAGAGUUGUGUGAAGCUCUACUCCUAGCUAUUUGUUGAGUCCUGGACAGGUCACUUCACAUUUCCAGCUCCCAGUGUUUUCAAAUGGAAAGUGGGGAUAAUUCCAGUUGCUCCUUGGAAUCAGUGGGAGGAGUUUCUGAGGAAAAAUAUGUUAACCUUUAGCAAAGUACUUCACACGGAGUAACUCAACAAAUGUUAACUGUCAUUAUUAUUUGCGAAAUGGGGAUAACAAAAAUAAACAGUAACCUUAAAACAGAACAUGCAAUUUAGAGCAUUAAAUAAGAUGGGACAUAGAGUGUUCACAGCAUUCCAAACCUGUUGCAUAUCAUAUAUUCAUUCAUUUAACAAGCAGUACUAAGACUACUCAGGCUGCUGUAGAUGCCCAAUAUGGAGCCCUUAGAAUCCAGUGAGGGGAAUUAACAUAUUGUCCCCAUGUAUCUCCGAGGCAGCAAAGAGGGAAAGAUGACUUCUCAUGGAGCAGCGAGCCUUUCUGUGACAGACCUACAUGAACCCUGAAAUGGGGUUCCAUUGUGGUGGAUGGGAGUGGAUUCCAGAGGAAGUGAGGGCAGAAGGGCAUUUCAGGCAAUGGAAGAACUCACAUGACCAGCAGGAGCAGGC
Molecule: long non-coding RNA, 1046 nt
Filed under: Fukomys damarensis (Damara mole-rat)
Lineage: Eukaryota; Metazoa; Chordata; Mammalia; Rodentia; Bathyergidae
Description: lncRNA (ENSFDAG00000032041.1)
Source: RNAcentral